ACGUAGGGUGCGAGCGUUAAUCGGAAUUACUGGGCGUAAAGCGUGCGCAGGCGGCUUCGCAAGUCAGACGUGAAAUCCCCGGGCUUAACCUGGGAAUGGCGUUUGAAACUACGGAGCUGGAGUGUGGCAGAGGGAGGUAGAAUUCCACGUGUAGCGGUGAAAUGCGUAGAUAUGUGGAGGAAUACCGAUGGCGAAGGCGGCCCUCUGGACCAGCACUGACGCUGAGGCACGAAAGCGUGGGGAGCAGACAGGA
RNAcentral lists this ribosomal RNA (253 nucleotides) under uncultured prokaryote. RNAcentral's name for it is "partial 16S ribosomal RNA". It matches the Rfam family "Bacterial small subunit ribosomal RNA", at positions 525 to 777 of the family's 1533-position model. The record is from RNAcentral.